AACGAACGCUGGCGGCAUGCCUAACACAUGCCAGUCGAACGAGACCUUCGGGUCUAGUGGCGCACGGGUGCGUAACGCGUGGGAACCUGCCCUUAGGUUCGGAAUAACUCCCCGAAAGGGGUGCUAAUACCGGAUAAUGUCUUCGGACCAAAGAUUUAUCGCCUUUGGAUGGGCCCGCGUUGGAUUAGCUAGUUGGUAGGGUAAAAGCCUACCAAGGCGACGAUCCAUAGCUGGUCUGAGAGGAUGAUCAGCCACACUGGGACUGAGACACGGCCCAGACUCCUACGGGGGGCAGCAGUGGGGAAUAUUGGACAAUGGGCGAAAGCCUGAUCCAGCAAUGCCGCGUGAGUGAUGAAGGCCUUAGGGUUGUAAAGCUCUUUUACCCGGGAUGAUAAUGACAGUACCGGGAGAAUAAGCUCCGGCUAACUCCGUG
RNAcentral lists this ribosomal RNA (433 nucleotides) under uncultured bacterium. RNAcentral's name for it is "partial 16S ribosomal RNA". It matches the Rfam family "Bacterial small subunit ribosomal RNA", at positions 29 to 507 of the family's 1533-position model. The record is from RNAcentral.